CCACCAGGGUAUGUAAAUGUCUUUUUUUCUACCAUGUCAGAAUAUUUUUUUCCCUCACUCCUGACAAUGCAAAAAUGGUCUUCAAAGCACAUACAAAGCACCCCGGGUGAGAACGCCCCAUCCUAGGGGAGGCAGGGCCCAAAGAGCCCCGGCCCAGAGGACAGGGCGGCCCCCUCCCCUGCCCAUCCCUGCCCACAGCCAGCACAGCACCCCGCGUGACACCAGCACUGAGCCCCCUCCCUUCUGCAAUAAUCGGGGGCUUCAGCCCCACCCAGGUGCCGCGGCCAGCUCCUGCGCUUCUAUAUAUUAUAGUACUAUGUAGCCGAGCUGCCCUUCCUUCCUAUGGAAGUGGGAAACAUGGUCAGGACACGAGGGGUGGGGACACCUUGUCUUCCACCACCCCCACUCACCCAGUGUCUGGGCUUAGGAUCCUCAGGCGAGGCCCCUGGGGUGGGUCCCCCUUGGGGCUCCUGGGGCCUCUCUGUGGUUCCCAUCCUGAGUCUGGAAUUACUUGCGAUGAGAAUAAAUUGUCUCAUCUUUGCCUGCG
RNAcentral lists this long non-coding RNA (547 nucleotides) under Rattus norvegicus (Norway rat). Its description in RNAcentral is "long non-coding RNA NONRATT023737". Lineage: Eukaryota; Metazoa; Chordata; Mammalia; Rodentia; Muridae. The record is from RNAcentral.